This 293-nucleotide unclassified non-coding RNA is filed under the name Hevea brasiliensis (rubber tree). Lineage: Eukaryota; Viridiplantae; Streptophyta; Magnoliopsida; Malpighiales; Euphorbiaceae. The record is from RNAcentral.
GAAAAGUGACGAAGUAAAUUUCAUAUAUUGUCCAAUUGAGUAUGAAAUGCUUUGUUUUAGCCUUAUUUUGGAAAUUGUUUUUCAUUGUUGAGGAUGAAAUUGCAUCAUUGAGAUCUUGGUUCGCACUUACUACGUGAAGAGUUGUCAUUUGCACCUUGGUGCAUUGAUUAUAAAACCUUUGUCUAUCAUGUUUUUGUGGUUCAUGGAAAGGUUAUUCCCUAUGGUAAACCUUAUGAGAAUUGGGACUGACAUAUUUUUUGUUCUGUUUUAGGUGCUUCAAGAAUUCAAAAUCU